AAACGGGUGGUAAUGCCGGAUGCUCCAGUUGAUCGCAUGGUCUUCUGGGAAGCUUUCGCGGUAUGGGAUGGGGUCGCGUCCUAUCAGCUUGACGGCGGGGUAACGGCCCACCGUGGCUUCGACGGGUAGCCGGCCUGAGAGGGCGACCGGCCACAUUGGGACUGAGAUACGGCCCAGACUCCUACGGGAGGCAGCAGUGGGGAAUAUUGCACAAUGGGCGCAAGCCUGAUGCAGCGACGCCGCGUGAGGGAUGGAGGCCUUCGGGUUGUAAACCUCUUUUAUCGGGGAGCAAGCGAGAGUGAGUUUACCCGUUGAAUAAGCACCGGCUAACUACGUGCCAGCAGCCGCGGUAAUACGUAGGGUGCAAGCGUUAUCCGGAAUUAUUGGGCGUAAAGGGCUCGUAGGCGGUUCGUCGCGUCCGGUGUGAAAGUCCAUCGCUUAACGGUGGAUCCGCGCCGGGUACGGGCGGGCUUGAGUGCGGUAGGGGAGACUGGAAUUCCCGGUGUAACGGUGGAAUGUGUAGAUAUCGG
This 530-nucleotide ribosomal RNA is filed under the name Bifidobacterium longum subsp. infantis. RNAcentral's name for it is "bacterial SSU rRNA". It matches the Rfam family "Bacterial small subunit ribosomal RNA", at positions 154 to 700 of the family's 1533-position model. The record is from RNAcentral. Lineage: Bacteria; Bacillati; Actinomycetota; Actinomycetes; Bifidobacteriales; Bifidobacteriaceae.